GAUGAAGAACGUAGCGAAAUGCGAUAAGUAAUGUGAAUUGCAGAAUUCAGUGAAUCAUCGAAUCUUUGAACGCACAUUGCGCCCGCCAGUACUCUGGCGGGCAUGCCUGUCUGAGCGUCAUUUCAACCCUCGCCCCCGGCUUCUGUCGGGGACGGUGUUGGGGAUCGGCCUCCCGUCUUCCGGGUGGCCGGCCCCUAAAUUGAGUGGCGACCACGCCGUAACCUCCUCUGCGUAGUAGUUAAACACUCGCGGGCGGAGAGCGGUGCGGCCUGCCGUAAAACCCCCAACUCUUCUAAGGUUGACCUCAGAUCAGGUAGGAAUACCCGCUGAACUUAAGCAUAUCAAUAAGCGGAGGA
RNAcentral lists this unclassified non-coding RNA (356 nucleotides) under soil metagenome. Its description in RNAcentral is "partial contains 5.8S ribosomal RNA, internal transcribed spacer 2, and large subunit ribosomal RNA". The stretch from base 1 to 120 matches the Rfam family "5.8S ribosomal RNA", at positions 35 to 154 of the family's 154-position model. The record is from RNAcentral.